This 1026-nucleotide long non-coding RNA is filed under the name Homo sapiens (human). RNAcentral describes it as "HSALNT0349307". Lineage: Eukaryota; Metazoa; Chordata; Mammalia; Primates; Hominidae. The record is from RNAcentral.
CAGGGAGCUUAUAGAACCUUGGGAACCAGGAACCCUUUAGGACCCUGUGAACUACAAGUCUGCUAUUUUAGGAAGUGGAUAAAAUGGCAUUUUGACAGAUCUGGAGGGUCUUGGAUCUACCUUUCAACAUUGGCAUUACUGAUAUUAGAGUACCACCACUCACUAGCUGUGGAGAUGUAGGAAGAUUACUUAACCACUCAGAGCCUUGGUUUCCUCAUUUGUUAUGUGAAGAUGACAAUAUCAGAUGACAGUGAGAUCUGAGAUGAAUUUAACUGCCUUCAGUAGUGCUGGCCUGCUCCUGAGAGAGAGAUGAUUGAGAGGGAGGAAGUAGAGAGGAGGAAGAAGCCUUUACUCACACUCCUUGAGGAGUGAUUCAGGUGGACAGCCUGAAUUACGGGAUUUAUUGGCAGCAAGUAAGUAUUGUCUGAGUGGAUUACUGCAAAAUGCUUUAGCUGGGGAUGGCUUUGAAAACCACUCAUCAAUUACAGAUGGUACCCAGUAUAGCAGCAGGAGUACCCUUGCGGGCUUUUGUUAUCUCCGACCUCUUCCUUCAUGGGUGACCGUUCUAACCCAAAGACCUCAACUGUUCAUCAAAAACCUGCCACUCAGAACUGCAUAUCAAUUAUUAAACAAUGUCCCAUGCAGGACAGUGACUUUAAAUUAUCUUGGAAAUGAUAAAGACCAACAUUUGUCUUUGUUAACAUGCUGAGUGAUUCUGUGGUCUCUAGUCACAGGUGAAAGGAUCAGAUUUGAGAUUUCUAGACACCAGAAUCACAUUAGGGUUAAGCAAAACUCCAUCUUUUCCCAGAGAAAAUUUAGCCAGAAAUGUUGCUUAUUUGAGAUGAGAAGUAAGAUGAAGUGUUCUAACAUGGCGGAGCUUGAUAUGCAAAUGAGCCCAUCUAGGGACAGUAGGGAUUGGUAAUGUGGGUCUGUGGAUGCCUGGAAGGCUCACAGAAAGACUUCAGGAAUUCCUGAGUCUCUUCAAAGUGUAAGCAAAAUUUUGUGUGUAUUUUCUUAUUUGCAUGA